ACGCUCGACACCUACGGGAGCAGCAGUCGGGAAUAUUGCGCAAUGGAGGAAACUCUGACGCAGUGACGCCGCGUGCAGGAAGAAGGUUUUCGGAUUGUAAACUGCUUUAGACAGGGAAGAAAGAAAUGACAGUACCUGUAGAAUAAGCUCCGGCUAACUACGUGCCAGUAGCCGCGGUAAUCUGAGCGGGCUGGCAAGGC
This 200-nucleotide ribosomal RNA is filed under the name uncultured bacterium. RNAcentral describes it as "partial 16S ribosomal RNA". It matches the Rfam family "Bacterial small subunit ribosomal RNA", at positions 328 to 539 of the family's 1533-position model. The record is from RNAcentral.